This is an antisense RNA of 69 nucleotides. It matches the Rfam family "ASpks TB sRNA".
CUUCACGGAGCCGACCAGCAGCGGGCGCUGGCGGUCAUGGCCGUAGGUGGCGAGCAGUGCCUGCGCCUC